AGGAAACCGAAUGCCAAUUGCUGGACUUACAUCAGACUCCAAGCACACAAACACAAACAGGAAACCUACUGCCAAUCGCUGGACUUAUGUCAGACUCCAAAAAAACAAACACACACAGGAAACCGAAUGCUAAUCGUUGGGCUUACAUCAGACUCCGAACAAACAAACACACACCAAAAAAGAAAAAGGGUGCCCGGAGAGAUCCC
Molecule: long non-coding RNA, 206 nt
Filed under: Lathyrus oleraceus (garden pea)
Lineage: Eukaryota; Viridiplantae; Streptophyta; Magnoliopsida; Fabales; Fabaceae
Description: Pisum sativum (pea) long non-coding RNA (PSAT_LNC034384)
Source: RNAcentral